Long non-coding RNA from Habropoda laboriosa, 261 nucleotides. RefSeq lists it as uncharacterized. The record is from RefSeq and is a predicted model, not a curated record. NCBI's taxonomy places the organism in Eukaryota, Metazoa, Arthropoda, Insecta, Hymenoptera, Apidae. The transcript has 3 exons.
GUUCCCUUGUCUUACUCAUUGUCAAAAUGCAGACCCGAUUAAAGGCAUGGAAAAGGCAUCAGACAGUGGAGGAAAAAUUUAGCAGCAGUCAAUAGCUUCUGGUCCAGAACAACGGAAAAGGUGAAUCAUUCCAAGAUUAUCGAAGGAUCGAGAGUACCAUCGAGAGCAUCACCGGAAAUGAGAUGGUACUCUCAAGCCAACAUAGAAAUCAAGGAAAGAACUUCAACAUCAGAGAAAAUGAAGAAAUGCAAUUAUUUAUGA